This 343-nucleotide ribosomal RNA is filed under the name uncultured Lentisphaerota bacterium. Its description in RNAcentral is "bacterial SSU rRNA". It matches the Rfam family "Bacterial small subunit ribosomal RNA", at positions 29 to 351 of the family's 1533-position model. Lineage: Bacteria; Pseudomonadati; Lentisphaerota. The record is from RNAcentral.
AACGAACGCUGGCAGCGUGGAUUAGGCAUGCAAGUCGAACGAGAUCCGGAGUGUAGCAAUAUAUUCCGGUGAAAGUGGCGGAAGGGUGCGUAACGCGUGGGUAACCUGCCUCCGAGUUGGGGACAACCCGCCGAAAGGCGGGCUAAUACCGAAUGUGAUGGUGCCGCGCAUGCGGCAUUGAUCAAAGACGGGGAACCGCAAGGUCCUGUCGCUUGGAGAGGGACCCGCGUCCUAUCAGCUUGUUGGUGAGGUAACGGCUCACCAAGGCUUACGGGUAGCUGGUCUGAGAGGAUGGUCAGCCACACUGGGACUGAGACACUGCCCAGACUCCUACGGGUGGCAG